UCAUUAAAAUUUCAUCAAUUUCUAUCGUUAAAAACUGGCGUGGCUGAUUGAAUAACCAGACAGUUACACGUGGCGUGUCACAUGUACCUUAUACUGAUGUAGAGGGACCGGUUUUUAAUAGUAAGAUUGGAUGAAAGUUUUAAUGA
MicroRNA precursor from Gossypium arboreum, 146 nucleotides. It matches the Rfam family "MIR7502 microRNA precursor family". The record is from Rfam. Lineage: Eukaryota; Viridiplantae; Streptophyta; Magnoliopsida; Malvales; Malvaceae.